GGGGUGCGAAAUAGACUUACCUCCACGUGGUGCACCCUGGGCGACGUAUUCUCAUACGGCAAAAAAAGUCUAU
This 73-nucleotide ribozyme is filed under the name Rodentolepis nana. Its description in RNAcentral is "Hymenolepis nana HDV ribozyme from F. prausnitzii". It matches the Rfam family "HDV ribozyme from F. prausnitzii". Lineage: Eukaryota; Metazoa; Platyhelminthes; Cestoda; Cyclophyllidea; Hymenolepididae. The record is from Rfam by way of RNAcentral.